GACGAACGCUGGCGGUGUGCCUCACACAUGCAAGUCGAACGGGGUAGCAAUACCCAGUGGCGGACGGGUGAGUAACACGUGGGAAUCUGCCUUAAAGUGGGGGAUAACAGUCCGAAAGGACUGCUAAUACCGCAUACGUCGCAAGAUAAAAGGAGCAAUCCGCUUUUAGAUGAGCCCGCGUCCGAUUAGCUAGUUGGUAGGGUAAAGGCUUACCAAGGCUACGAUCGGUAGCUGGUCNGAGAGGAUGA
Molecule: ribosomal RNA, 248 nt
Filed under: uncultured bacterium
Lineage: Bacteria
Description: partial 16S ribosomal RNA
Rfam family: Bacterial small subunit ribosomal RNA
Source: RNAcentral